CAGUAUUAUAUGCUGAUGUUAAAGAUUAAGCCAUGCAUGUGUAAGUUUAAAGACCUAGUAGGAUGAAACUGCGGACGGCUCAUUAUAACAGUAAUAGUUUCUUUGGUUAGUAGGUACAAGGAUAACUUUGUGAAUGAUAAAGCUAAUACUUGAGACGAUCUGGGGAGUACUUGUACUUUCCGGCCGGUGGUCGCAAGGCUGCCGAGAAAUGACAUUCUCUUGUGAAAAAGGAUGCCACGACAAUUGAGGAAAGCGACGCUUUUUACAAGUAACCAAUGGGAAUUUCUGAUCUAUCAAUUUGUUGGUAGUAUCGAGGACUACCAAGAUUAUAACGGAUAACGAGGAAUUGGGGUUCGACAUCGGAGAGGGAGCUUUACAGAUGGCUACCACUUCUAAGGAAGGCAGCAGGCGCGUAAAUUACCCACUUUCGACAUGAAGAGGUAGUGACGACAAAUAACUCUUGGGGCC
RNAcentral lists this ribosomal RNA (468 nucleotides) under Entamoeba sp. MG107/BEL. RNAcentral describes it as "bacterial SSU rRNA". It matches the Rfam family "Eukaryotic small subunit ribosomal RNA", at positions 18 to 491 of the family's 1831-position model. Lineage: Eukaryota; Evosea; Mastigamoebida; Endamoebidae. The record is from RNAcentral.